AGGUUUGUUUGGAGGAAGACAAUCUAAUAUGCUGGUUUGAUAUAUAUCAGUUGGAAAGACUGUCAAAUGUACUUUAGAUGAUAUAAGUGUGCUGGUGACCGAUUGAACCAGGCUAAAGUACAUGUGUUGAUCAGGCUAAACUAUAAAGCAUCCAUUACAAACUACCGACAAAUAGGAAAUUGGAGGCCACUAUACAGCUACUUGAUUUUGUAUCAUACAGAAUCUAGAAGACCAAAAGAAAUGGAUGCUUGAUCUAAUCACACACACAC
This 269-nucleotide long non-coding RNA is filed under the name Sorghum bicolor (sorghum). RNAcentral describes it as "long non-coding RNA (SBIC_LNC007203)". Lineage: Eukaryota; Viridiplantae; Streptophyta; Magnoliopsida; Poales; Poaceae. The record is from RNAcentral.